This 976-nucleotide ribosomal RNA is filed under the name Enterococcus faecium. RNAcentral's name for it is "partial 23S ribosomal RNA". It matches the Rfam family "Bacterial large subunit ribosomal RNA", at positions 154 to 1131 of the family's 2925-position model. Lineage: Bacteria; Bacillati; Bacillota; Bacilli; Lactobacillales; Enterococcaceae. The record is from RNAcentral.
UUGUGUGAAUACAUAGCACAUUCGAGGUAGACGCAGAGAACUGAAACAUCUAAGUACCUGCAGGAAGAGAAAGAAAAUUCGAUUCCCUGAGUAGCGGCGAGCGAAACGGGAAAAGCCCAAACCAGCAAGCUUGCUUGUUGGGGUUGUAGGACUCCAAUAUGGUAGUUCUUUCAGAUAGUCGAAUGACUUGGAAAAGUCAGUCAAAGAGGGUAAAAACCCCGUAGACGAAAUGUGGAAGACACCUAGGAGGAUCCUGAGUACGGCGGAACACGAGAAAUUCCGUCGGAAUCCGGGAGGACCAUCUCCCAAGGCUAAAUACUCCCUAGUGACCGAUAGUGAACCAGUACCGUGAGGGAAAGGUGAAAAGCACCCCGGAAGGGGAGUGAAAUAGAACCUGAAACCGUGUGCCUACAACAAGUCAAAGCCCGUUAAUGGGUGAUGGCGUGCCUUUUGUAGAAUGAACCGGCGAGUUACGAUUGCAUGCGAGGUUAAGUUGAAGAGACGGAGCCGCAGCGAAAGCGAGUCUGAAUAGGGCGUUUGAGUAUGUAGUCGUAGACCCGAAACCAUGUGAUCUACCCAUGUCCAGGUUGAAGGUGCGGUAAAACGCACUGGAGGACCGAACCCACGUACGUUGAAAAGUGCGGGGAUGAGGUGUGGGUAGCGGAGAAAUUCCAAACGAACUUGGAGAUAGCUGGUUCUCUCCGAAAUAGCUUUAGGGCUAGCCUCGGAAUUGAGAAUGAUGGAGGUAGAGCACUGUUUGGACUAGGGGCCCAUCUCGGGUUACCGAAUUCAGAUAAACUCCGAAUGCCAUUCAUUCAUAUCCGGGAGUCAGACUGUGAGUGAUAAGAUCCAUAGUCGAAAGGGAAACAGCCCAGACCACCAGCUAAGGUCCCAAAAUAUAUGUUAAGUGGAAAAGGAUGUGGGGUUGCACAGACAACUAGGAUGUUGGCUUAGAAGCAGCCACCAUUUAAAGAGU